RNAcentral lists this ribosomal RNA (497 nucleotides) under uncultured bacterium. Its description in RNAcentral is "partial 16S ribosomal RNA". It matches the Rfam family "Bacterial small subunit ribosomal RNA", at positions 28 to 507 of the family's 1533-position model. The record is from RNAcentral.
GAUGAACGCUGGCGGCGUGCCUAAUACAUGCAAGUCGAGCGAACGGACGAGAAGCUUGCUUCUCUGAUGUUAGCGGCGGACGGGCGAGUAACACGUGGAUAACCUACCUAUAAGACUGGGAUAACUUCGGGAAACCGGAGCUAAUACCGAAUAAUAUUUUGAACCGCAUGGUUCAAAAGUGAAAGACGGUCUUGCUGUCACUUAUAGAUGGAUCCGCGCUGCAUUAGCUAGUUGGUAAGGUAACGGCUUACCAAGGCAACGAUGCAUAGCCGACCUGAGAGGGUGAUCGGCCACACUGGAACUGAGACACGGUCCAGACUCCUACGGGAGGCAGCAGUAGGGAAUCUUCCGCAAUGGGCGAAAGCCUGACGGAGCAACGCCGCGUGAGUGAUGAAGGUCUUCGGAUCGUAAAACUCUGUUAUUAGGGAAGAACAUAUGUGUAAGUAACUGUGCACAUCUUGACGGUACCUAAUCAGAAAGCCACGGCUAACUACGUG